UGUGAAGAAAGGGAAGGGUGAGGCCGGGCCUGAGGCCUCUGAAGCCCUCUCCACUGAGGUUGAAGGAUCCCUGUGGAUCAGGUGCAAGUUUGCUGCACUGGGGGAAAGGGAAGCUGCUCCAGAAACCAGUAGCUGCUUUCUACCUCUGGGCUCUGGGGCAUUAACAUAUCCCAUUGUGUUCUGUUUCCAGGAGCCUGACUACGGGGCCCUGUAUGAGGGACGCAACCCUGGCUUCUAUGUAGAGGCAAACCCUAUGCCAACUUUCAAGUGUGCGGUCAAAGCCCUCUUUGACUACAAGGCCCAGAGGGAGGACGAGCUGACCUUCACCAAGAGCGCCAUCAUCCAGAAUGUGGAGAAGCAAGAGGGAGGCUGGUGGCGAGGGGACUACGGAGGGAAGAAGCAGCUGUGGUUCCCAUCAAACUAUGUGGAAGAGAUGGUCAACCCCGUGGCCCUGGAGCCGGAGAGGGAGCACUUGGACGAGAACAGCCCCCUAGGGGACUUGCUGCGGGGCGUCUUGGAUGUGCCGGCUUGUCAGAUUGCCAUCCGUCCUGAGGGCAAGAACAACCGGCUCUUCGUCUUCUCCAUCAGCAUGGCGUCGGUGGCCCACUGGUCCCUGGAUGUUGCUGCCGACUCACAGGAGGAGCUGCAGGACUGGGUGAAAAAGAUCCGUGAAGUGGCCCAGACCGCAGAUGCCAGGGUGAGAUUCUGCUGGAGCCUGCUGGGGGGCAGUGUGUGGGCCUGUCAGGCGGCUGAGGCCUCCAGCUCCCAGCACAAGACCCCUCAGAGCAGUGGGGCAGCCGAUGGCCUAUGCUAGAUAGGCCACAGCCCCUGCCUUAGCUAGGGAUUGAGAAGAAACAGACACAUAAGAUGCAAUGUGGUGUGUUUAGGUUGUGUUGAGUUUGAGAUACUGAUGGGUCGUUGAAGUGGGUCUGCUUAGUGGGCAGUUGGAUACACAAGACCAGAGCUAAGAGGAGAAGUCCUGGGCUGGAAGCAGGAGUGGAGUGGGGGCUGAGGCUUAGAAGGGAUGAGGUGGUGUCGAAUAGGAA
Molecule: small RNA, 1046 nt
Filed under: Pongo abelii (Sumatran orangutan)
Lineage: Eukaryota; Metazoa; Chordata; Mammalia; Primates; Hominidae
Description: retained intron
Source: RNAcentral